Molecule: long non-coding RNA, 764 nt
Organism: Oreochromis aureus
Lineage: Eukaryota; Metazoa; Chordata; Actinopteri; Cichliformes; Cichlidae
Source: Ensembl
UUUUUUUUGAAAAAUAACGACGUCUCUGAGGCGCGAAUUCCGACAGUGAGAGGAACGGCCGGAUACAGGAGACGGGAAGAAACAAGCCGAUUAUGUUCGCUUUAAUUAAGUGGUUGGAAGAUGUAAAAUUCUCAAUUCUGCCAACUGAACAUAUACGAGAUUUUAAUGAGGAUGAAUAAUUAGCCGGCAUGGAGGAAACGGACCUUUAUUUGGUGGAGUGGCGACAAGAAGCCACAAGGUGGGUGGCCGGUCUAUGAAGCCUCCAUCAUCAAGCUAGCAGAAAUCCCACCUCUCCUUCUGGCUACAGAGUACUUACCAAGCCCAUGAAAUCGAAUGCAGAUCUUCCUGAUGUGAGAUUUACAUAAAUAUGUCAAAGUCUCAACCUCAUGCUGCCCUCCCCCAUCUUCCUAAAGUUCAAUGGUGCGUGUUCUUCUAAUGGCUGCCUUCCCACUGGAGGUUUUGAUCCACAGCAAUUUAAAAGGAGGACAGAGCAAAACGGACAUCGGCGCAGAGCGAAGAACUGCCCUUCAUAAGGACACUAUGACAGCCAUAUAUAUGGCAGUAAGGAAGAGGUUUCCCACUGUGUCCAGAAGGGCUUUGAGGAUUGCAGUGAAAGCUGGGGGAACUGAGACUGCUGGAAAAGGAAAAGAAAUUACAUUUUAAGUAUGUUGACUUAUGUUCAUACAUUCACACACACAUAUACACAUACACACACAUAUGUAUAUAUAUAUAUACAUAUACACACACAUAUAUGUAUAUGUGUG